Molecule: ribosomal RNA, 484 nt
Filed under: uncultured bacterium
Lineage: Bacteria
Description: partial 16S ribosomal RNA
Rfam family: Bacterial small subunit ribosomal RNA
Source: RNAcentral
AGUGAACGCUGGCGGCGUGCUUAACACAUGCAAGUCGAACGAGAAUGUGCUAUAGCUUGCUAUAGUUGUCAGCUAAGUGGCGCACGGGUGAGUAAUGUAUAGGUAAUAUGCCUCUUACUAAGGGAUAACAAAUGGAAACGUUUGCUAAUACCUUAUACUCCUUAUUAACAGAAGUUAAUAAGGGAAAGAUUUAUUGGUAAGAGAUUAGCCUGUAUUGUAUCAGUUAGUUGGUGGGGUAAUGGCUUACCAAGACUAUGACACAUAACUGGUUUGAGAGGAUGAUCAGUCACACUGGAACUGAGACACGGUCCAGACUCCUACGGGAGGCAGCAGUGGGGAAUAUUGCACAAUGGACGAAAGUCUGACGCAGCAACGCCGCGUGGAGGAUGACACAUUUCGGUGCGUAAACUCCUUUUAUAUGAGAAGAUAAUGACGGUAUUAUAUGAAUAAGCACCGGCUAACUCCGUGCCAGCCGCCGCAGUAA